Molecule: long non-coding RNA, 384 nt
Organism: Ornithorhynchus anatinus (platypus)
Lineage: Eukaryota; Metazoa; Chordata; Mammalia; Monotremata; Ornithorhynchidae
Exons: 3
Source: RefSeq, a predicted model, not a curated record
AAACCAGAGCUGUAAACUGCCACUGGCCAGGAAUCUGUUGGAUAGAAGAAGCUCUAAACUGCCAUUUGUCAAGGGUCAGUUGGUUAGAAGAAGCUUUGAACUGCUAUUGGUCAGGGAUCGGUUGGCUAGAAAAGGCUGUGAACUGUCACAGGUUAAGAAUCAGAUGGUUAGAAGUCGUCAACUCACAUUAAUCAAGAGAUAGCCAUACGUACUUGAAGCGCAGUUUUUCUAGAAUCACAUGUCUUCGCGAGGUGCUUUGAAUGAAAGAAAGCUGUGGUGGGGAAUUCCAACAAUCUCCUUCCACCUAGCUGGGAUGGGUGCUGCUCUGAGUGUGGAGUUCCUAAUUACUUGCUAGAGGAGAAAAAAAGGGAAAGUAAAAGAGAG